CUCAGCUAUAGACAAAGUUGCUGGCCCAGAGAGCCUUGGUCCAAACCCUGACCUCAGCGCUCUGUACUUUUGCAGAGUCUUCUGUAGUUCUGCCAUCCAUCUUUAGGGACUUGGGCCAUGAGACAGCCAUGACAGCCUGCGUGCAUGAUUCCUCUUCUGUAGUUCUGCUAUCCGUCUUUAGGGGCUUGGGCCAUGAGACAACCAUCGCCAACUCCCUCCUUUGGGCCAGACAGUCUUGAUGUCUUCCCUGGUGGUUAUGGAAUUGAGAUGGGAAAUUAAGAAUGUAACUGUUUCAGGCGAUGGAGUCUGGAACCCACGAGGCUUGUUAAUGAUAUCCAUUUUCAUUAUCAGCAGACCUCAGAGCCAGGAUUCCUGCUUUACUCCACAAAGUUGUUGUCUGACUGCCAGCUCUGUGGUCCCAAGAGCCAGCUUGAAGGAAGAGUCCCAGAGGGCCUGACUCCAGGGAGGCGAUGAUGCUUUAAUGAGCCAUGGUUCAAUUCCUCUUUGGCUCUUUCUACAACUCCAGGUGGGAUGCCUCUAUAGAUCACUGGAUAGACCGGAUCUGACAGAUGUGCAGACUGAGCUCAGAGGCCCAAACACAGCAAUCAAGGCAGAAGGCUGGUCCAGCAGGCAGGACUCUUGCUUGCCAGAAGGAAGUAUGGGGACUUCAUGAGCCAAGCAGAGCUGGAGAAAUCUUCUUGGAGGAGGGAAC
Long non-coding RNA from Rattus rattus (black rat), 712 nucleotides. RefSeq lists it as uncharacterized. The transcript is spliced from 3 exons. The record is from RefSeq and is a predicted model, not a curated record. NCBI's taxonomy places the organism in Eukaryota, Metazoa, Chordata, Mammalia, Rodentia, Muridae.